Selaginella moellendorffii is the source of this 531-nucleotide long non-coding RNA. RefSeq lists it as uncharacterized. The transcript has 3 exons. The record is from RefSeq and is a predicted model, not a curated record. Lineage: Eukaryota; Viridiplantae; Streptophyta; Lycopodiopsida; Selaginellales; Selaginellaceae.
GCGAUUGCAGGCAGCUGUGUGAUUGAGGGAGCGCAGCAUUUCUUUGGCAGCAGCGAGCGCAGCACUGAUCGCCCAGCACGUAGCAGCUAGCAGCCAGUGAAAGAGCGUGUGCGCAAGUGGGAUAUUCUACAUUCAGCUUGCAUUUCAAGGGCAAAACUAUGAAGUCUUGGGAUGGACGUGGUUGUGGAGGGCACAAGCAUUUAGCUGAGCAAUUUGCUCAGUUUCUUGGUGAUAAUGCAUUGGUGGUGAAACUUUCACCCACACACUUUUGUUCAUAUCAGUUCAUACUAAUAAGUUUGUAUACAUUUUUGCAAUUUAUAUUCUAAUGCCUCUUUUCUUUUGUGUAGAGUAUAAAAAAAGUUGGGGCUUACAAUGUUUGGAUAUACAAAACAUAUAGUGGAUGUGACUUGUGGUGAUAGUGGAGAGACAUUUAAAUUUCAAUGGAGUGGCCGGAAGGAAUUUAUGGUAAGCAAUGAUUGGAUGGACUUUUGUGAUGAUCGUGGGCUUAAUAUUAAUGACUAUAUUACCUUA